UGCCCUGGGGUACGCAGGAGUACAGCAUCUCUGUGAAAGUCUAUGUCAUGGGAAGAAUUGUGUACCUGUCACCUAACUGGAGAGUGUUGUCAGGAUUUAUGUAAUUCACUCUACACCAGUGAACAACUGAGAGAACUUGACCUCAGGGACAAUGCCUUGGGGGAGCAGAGCAUGAAUGUGUUGUGUCAAGGGUUGAAACACCCUUCCUGCAAACCUCAGACCUUGUGGUUAGCAAAAUGUCACUUCACAGAUGUGUGCUGUGGAACCCUUGCCUCUGACCUCAACAGAAAUGAGAACCUAACAUUCUUAGAAUUAAGUGGAAAUUUCCUCAAGGAUUUUGGAGUGCAAAUGUUUUAUGAUGUAUUGAUUCAUCCAAUAUGUAGAUUACAGACAUUCUAGUAAGUUCUGUGGUGGGGG
Long non-coding RNA from Pipistrellus kuhlii (Kuhl's pipistrelle), 417 nucleotides. RefSeq lists it as uncharacterized. The transcript is spliced from 3 exons. The record is from RefSeq and is a predicted model, not a curated record. NCBI's taxonomy places the organism in Eukaryota, Metazoa, Chordata, Mammalia, Chiroptera, Vespertilionidae.